Molecule: transfer RNA, 86 nt
Filed under: Citrobacter freundii
Lineage: Bacteria; Pseudomonadati; Pseudomonadota; Gammaproteobacteria; Enterobacterales; Enterobacteriaceae
Description: tRNA-Pro
Source: RNAcentral
GCGAAGGGGGCGCAAUUGGUAGACGCGCUAGCUUCAGGGGUUAGGGCCCUUAGGAUGGGGGGGUGCGAGUCCCCCCCCUCGCACCA